AAAUGAAUAACAAUGUCGUAACCAGAAGCUUGGUGCUUAUAACAAGUAAAAAGCCGCCAUCACAAGGAAUAAAACGUGAUAAAUUAGACCAAUCUUGGAAGCCACACUGGCUGCACCAGUAGCUGGCGAAUAGCUUCCUUCAGGUGUGCCUGUUGUGAGAACAACUACUAUCCAGUCUCCAUCGGAACCAAUCCCAACUCCUGUAUACUUGGUGUCAUUGAGGUUAUCAUUAUACUGAGACUGUGUAAAGUUAGUGAGUACAAGAUUUGGAACUAGGUUAGGAACACAAGCAGGCAUUACUGCUCCAUCCCUUGUGUUGGAGACACAUUCAAAUGGCAUUUGGCCAGAAGGUUUGGGUAGUUGGCAAACUGCGGUUCAGUGCCUGGAACGGUGUUGGCACCGGUGGAGUUUGUGCAAGGUUGGUUCUUAAAUUGAUCUGCUAGUUCAUCAGCAAGGCACUCGGCAUUGUCAUUUUUCUUCAGAAUUGUCAAGUUCAAUGAAGCCCGGUAAUCGUUUAUGCCUUUAAGAAGAUUAUCCUCCUCAUCUGUAAAUGGUCAAGAAUAAAGUCGGUGAUUACAUAUAAUAUUUUACUGCCAUUUCGUAUUAGAAAGAAUAAACAAAAAAGUUCUAUUUUGGGUGUGAACCAAAAUGCAAAGAAGAUCGAUUUUCUUCGCCUCUUGAAACAAAAAGAAAAUCAUAGUUACAUGGCAGAAAAUUUCCAGCAAAAUAAGUUUAUAUCCUCCCAUGUAGCUAAAUUGCUGAACAGCUAAACAUCAGAAAGAUCCAGUACUGCAACUCAUGAAGUUACUCAAAAUUCAAACCAAGUAAUCCAUACAAAAGCCAAAUCUCAUCAGUCAGCUUAGGAUAUCAGAGAGAAAACAACAUUUUUAUUCAAAGGGGAAACCAUACAGGCUAAUAAAACCCAGAUUUCUAGCUAUAUGACUGCACUCUAGACCCUCCAAACAAAGUCAAUCUGAACCCGCAUCUAAUUCAAAUUUGAUGGCUCAUAUUAGCCAUAGUUAUGAUGGUCAGAGCUCAAGGUUAGGUUUAGGACUGUAAUACAGCUGAGUCAAAAAUCGGAUCCAGCUCAGUUAAGUACCAUUUUUUGAGAUAGAGCUUUGCUCUAGAUGAAAUCGAACUAUUUUUCAUACAGGAAGGACAACUAGAAAUCUGCAUUCUGCUGGAACAGUGAGUCCGAAAAUUCUAAGACAUAUUACAUGAAAAAUUAGGGAAGUGUUUACUUGGUGCACCAGUAGCUGGCGAAUAGCUUCCUUCAGGUGUGCCUGUUGUGAGAACAACUACUAUCCAGUCUCCAUCGGAACCAAUCCCAACUCCUGUAUACUUGGUGUCAUUGAGGUUAUCAUUAUACUGAGACUGUGUAAAGUUAGUGAGUACAAGAUUUGGAACUAGGUUAGGAACACAAGCAGGCAUUACUGCUCCAUCCCUUGUGUUGGAGACAUUCAAAUGGCAUUUGGCCAGAAGGUUUGGGUAGUUGGCAAACUGCGGUUCAGUGCCUGGAACGGUGUUGGCACCGGUGGAGUUUGUGCAAG
RNAcentral lists this long non-coding RNA (1550 nucleotides) under Gossypium barbadense (sea-island cotton). RNAcentral describes it as "long non-coding RNA (GBAR_LNC008210)". The record is from RNAcentral. Lineage: Eukaryota; Viridiplantae; Streptophyta; Magnoliopsida; Malvales; Malvaceae.